AACCUUAUGGACCUGCGGGCGUAUACCUGCGGAAGGAUCAUUACAGAGUUGCAAAACUCCCACAAACCAUCGCGAAUCUUACCCGUACGGUUGCCUCGGCGCUGGCGGUCCGGAAGGCCCUCGGGCCCCCGGACCCUCGGGUCUCCCGCUCGCGGGAGGCUGCCCGCCGGAGUGCCGAAACCAAACUCUUGAUAUUUUAUGUCUCUCUGAGUAAACUUUUAAAUAAGUCAAAACUUUUAA
RNAcentral lists this unclassified non-coding RNA (240 nucleotides) under soil metagenome. RNAcentral's name for it is "partial contains 5.8S ribosomal RNA, internal transcribed spacer 2, and large subunit ribosomal RNA". The record is from RNAcentral.